Molecule: ribosomal RNA, 407 nt
Filed under: uncultured bacterium
Lineage: Bacteria
Description: bacterial SSU rRNA
Rfam family: Bacterial small subunit ribosomal RNA
Source: RNAcentral
CUGGGAAUUUUGCGCAAUGGACGAAAGUCUGACGCAGCAACGCCGCGUGGGCGAGGAAGGCCUUCGGGUUGUAAAGCCCUUUUGAUGGGGACGAAAAAAAUGACGGUACCCGUCGAAUAAGCACCGGCUAACUCCGUGCCAGCAGCCGCGGUAAUACGGAGGGUGCAAGCGUUAUUCGGAAUUACUGGGCGUAAAGCGCGCGUAGGCGGCUCGGACAGUCUGGUGUGAAAUCCCUCGACUCAAUCGGGGAAGUGCAUUGGAUACUACCGGGCUCGAGUACUGGAGGGGAGAACGGAAUUCCAGGUGUAGAGGUGAAAUUCGUAGAUAUCUGGAGGAACAACGGUGGCGAAGGCGGUUCUCUGGACAGUAACUGACGCUGAGGCGCGAAAGUGUGGGGAGCAAACAGG